AUGCUGCAGGAGGAUGGGGGUAUUGAUGAAGAUGUGAACCAUCGAAUCAAAGCCGGAUGGAUGAAGUGGCGCCAAGCUUCUGGCAUUCUCUGUGACAAGAGAGUGCCACAAAAGCUAAAAGGCAAGUUCUACAGGACGGCGGUUCGACCCGCAAUGUUGUAUGGCGCUGAGUGUUGGCCGACUAAAAGGCGACAUGUUCAACAGUUAGGUGUGGCGGAGAUGCGUAUGUUGAGAUGGAUGUGUGGCCACACGAGGAAGGAUCGAGUCCGGAAUGAUGAUAUACGAGAUAGAGUUGGGGUAGCACCAAUUGAAGAGAAGCUUGUCCAACAUCGUCUGAGAUGGUUUGGGCAUAUUCAGCGCAGGCCUCCAGAAGCUCCGGUGCAUAGUGGACAGCUAAAGCGUGUGGAGAAUGUCAAGAGGGGGCGGGGUAGACUGAAUUUGACAUGGGGGGAGUCCGUUAAGAGAGACCUGAAGGAUUGGAGUAUCACCAAAGAGCUAGCUAUGGACAGGGGUGCGUGGAAGCUUGCUAUCCAUGUGCCAGAGCCAUGA
RNAcentral lists this ribosomal RNA (549 nucleotides) under Triticum aestivum (bread wheat). RNAcentral describes it as "partial small subunit ribosomal RNA". Lineage: Eukaryota; Viridiplantae; Streptophyta; Magnoliopsida; Poales; Poaceae. The record is from RNAcentral.